Regulatory RNA element from Sinomicrobium oceani, 28 nucleotides. It matches the Rfam family "L19-Flavobacteria ribosomal protein leader". NCBI's taxonomy places the organism in Bacteria, Pseudomonadati, Bacteroidota, Flavobacteriia, Flavobacteriales, Flavobacteriaceae. The record is from Rfam.
CAACCUCUGGCGAGAGACGUGAAUGUUG